This 626-nucleotide small RNA is filed under the name Histoplasma capsulatum var. duboisii H88. RNAcentral describes it as "Histoplasma capsulatum H88 hypothetical RNA". The record is from RNAcentral. Lineage: Eukaryota; Fungi; Ascomycota; Eurotiomycetes; Onygenales; Ajellomycetaceae.
ACCCAUAACGCCGCGUUUUCCUGAAUGACAGGGUUUACAUCAACCGUCUCAAUUGCGUUUACGGGAAAUUUUAUAUCAAUUUGACCGAAGCUAUUGACUCUCUCCCUGUCCUUUCUAGUUUUGCUCCAGUGUACCCGAAAACGCUUCAUUCAUACAGGCCUUGAUGCGCUCGCUGACGCCUCUUCUCCCCAUGUUCGCAUCAUACCAAGACUUCUCAUUGUGCUUUCCCCAACAAUAAUAGAACCAAAUUAACAUCAAUCCCCUCGCGCCAAAUGCAACUAGCACUUGGUGGCGUCUGACACCUCUUGGCCUUCCGCACGCAUCACCAGGGUACAUCAUCCUACGUUCUAGAGUCAGCACACCGAGUGCAUGGAUUUCCAGGGAAGCUCCUGUUCCAGAAAAGUUUGUUUCCCAGGAUAUUGGGUAAUACCGCUCCUUGCAGCGGAAUGGACGGAGCACAGGAAGAAGAGACAACGGAAACGAUGCGCAGGAUCCUGGAUGAUUCAAACUCCUGCCUCAUUUUAUUGCCCUCGGUCCUUGUAAUGGACCACCUCGACAAAAGUGCGGUUAUCUCCUCCACCAUCCCACAAAUUACGGGCAAUUUAUAGUUAUGCCUUCGAAGUUAC